GGAUCGGCUUGCCCUGCUAGUUAGUUGGUCUUGGAUUUAUAGGCCCGUGAUAGUAUCUGACUUGUUCUGGUUGUUGGACGGAUAAGAGGGUUGUCAUGCCGGUAUGCAACAGGAAUGAGGGGCGAGGGGCACGUGUGAGGACGCGCGGCGAGACAUGGCGCUUGUAGCCCCUUCUCCGCUUUUGCCGUUGCUUCUGGCUUGUUGUUAUUUGCUCUCUAGUCUCUACGACUUGAGUACCUUUAAAAACGAGAAAUGAAUGCGACGUGUUACUGUAAAAAUUGACUGUAAUUUAUUUUAUUUUAUUUUAAUUUUUGAGGGGAAUUUACUGUAAUUAUUGGUAGCGGCUUCCUUUGGUUUGUAAGGAUUUUGUAAAAGAAUUCUUUCUAACUGUAAUGCAGAUGUUCAUAU
This 408-nucleotide long non-coding RNA is filed under the name Hordeum vulgare. Its description in RNAcentral is "long non-coding RNA (HVUL_LNC005457)". Lineage: Eukaryota; Viridiplantae; Streptophyta; Magnoliopsida; Poales; Poaceae. The record is from RNAcentral.